Xenopus laevis (African clawed frog) is the source of this 54-nucleotide non-coding RNA. NCBI's taxonomy places the organism in Eukaryota, Metazoa, Chordata, Amphibia, Anura, Pipidae. The record is from Rfam.
AAAGUAGCUUAUGCCACUGCCAUGGACUGGUUCAUUGCAGUAUGUUACGCUUUU